AGUGAACGCUGGCGGUAGGCCUAACACAUGCAAGUCGAACGGCAGCACAGUAAGAGCUUGCUCUUACGGGUGGCGAGUGGCGGACGGGUGAGGAAUACAUCGGAAUCUACUUUUUCGUGGGGGAUAACGUAGGGAAACUUACGCUAAUACCGCAUACGACCUACGGGUGAAAGCAGGGGAUCUUCGGACCUUGCGCGAUUGAAUGAGCCGAUGUCGGAUUAGCUAGUUGGCGGGGUAAAGGCCCACCAAGGCGACGAUCCGUAGCUGGUCUGAGAGGAUGAUCAGACACACUGGAACUGAGACACGGUCCAGACUCCUACGGGAGGCAGCAGUGGGGAAUAUUGGACAAUGGGCGCAAGCCUGAUCCAGCCAUACCGCGUGGGUGAAGAAGGACUUCGGGUUGUAAAGACCUUUUGUUGGGAAAGAAAAGCAGCAGGUUAAUACCCCGCUGUUCUGACGGUACCCAAAGAAUAAGCACCGGCUAACUUCGUG
RNAcentral lists this ribosomal RNA (492 nucleotides) under uncultured bacterium. RNAcentral describes it as "partial 16S ribosomal RNA". It matches the Rfam family "Bacterial small subunit ribosomal RNA", at positions 29 to 507 of the family's 1533-position model. The record is from RNAcentral.